CUAAUGAAGACAGGGUAUACGCCAUACAGUGUGCUAUGAGGGAAAUUUUGCCCAAGCAACAGCACCAUGGCCUACUCUUAGAUCGAAUUCUAACUGCCAAGGGAUCUUUUAAGUUCACGUCAAUGUUAGCACGGGACCUCGUUUUUUGUACCAUCCGAACAACUAGACAGCCCUCUGUCCUGCACCAGUGACAAUCAGUUAGGGUUGUUGUACAUAAUGUCCUUUCAUUCAAUAGUUUUCGAGAUUAUUUUUAGCUCCCGGACACCCAUUAAUUAAUGAAGUUUUAUAUCAGUACGAAAAUCACCACAAGUAAAUGUACAGACAAUGAAUUAUUCGUGUUGGAUCGAUCCGCGUCAAAAAUCAAGAUACAACCUUACUGUGUGAGGGCAAACCGGAAGUGAUGUUAGAUUGCUGGCGGUUAGCUCAACUCGUCAAUUGUUACUUGAUUAUUUGUACUGGCUCUCUGAGGUCAAUAAAGCAACGUUUCCAAGUUCACAAAUUGUCUACGAUAUCAGUGUAACUGGAAGAGGACGUUAACACACCUGAUCACUGUAGUUGUCACGACAUCCAUUUGCAAGGUUUGAUAGAAGACGGAAGUGAUUGUUUUAAAAUUUGGAAGUCAAGACUCAGCUAGAUUUAUUUAACACUUUAUACAACUAUAAAAUUCAAACUACAGGCCUACACAUAAUCGGAUACAAAGAAGUGAAUAAUGGACAUGGAAACUAAUGAUGGUAACACUUUUCAUCAAUGUGUUCUUUGUGAUGAGAUUUUUCAACAACUUGAUGAUUUAGAAACACACAAUAAAGUGCAUGUUAAAGAAGAGAAAAUUGAUGAUGAAGAUGAAUAUUGUCAUGUUCAGUUUGAGGAAAAUAAAACUGAUGAUGUAGAUGAAUAUUGCCACAAUAAAAUACAUGUUAGAGAAGAGAAAACUGAUGUAGAUAAAUAUUAUCAUGUUAAGGAAGAGAAAACUGACGAUG
Molecule: RNA transcript, 977 nt
Organism: Patella vulgata (common limpet)
Lineage: Eukaryota; Metazoa; Mollusca; Gastropoda; Patellidae
Exons: 3
Source: RefSeq, a predicted model, not a curated record